ACAAUACAGCACACGUAUCUGCAUGCUGCUAAAGAUGAACACUUAGAAGAACUGAUUCAAGUUCUGACCUGGGAAACGUUUUAGCAGGGGUUUAUUAUUCAUAAUCAGGAGUGCUUAUUUAAUAAGCAAUGUUUCUAAUUUCAAAAGCUGAUUCUUGGCUCUGGACAGAGGUUGAAGAGCGAUGAAGUCAUCACCUAUUGCCACACGGUUGGAAUACAUCUACACCGAGAAAGGAGUAACAGAAUACACAAGAGAUGUCGGUACAAAACCUUCUUCACCACAUCAGGAAAGAGGCAAGUUAUGACAAUGAUGAUGAUGGCAAACCAGGCUGAGCCACUGGACAGCAAUUGAACAAAAACAAAGUACAUAUCCUGGGUGUGGAGGAAUGGCCUGAAAGAGAAAAAGACAAAUACGUACAUGAAAGGAUGAUCUUAAAACCUGGAUAAUGCCACCAUAGAAGAGAGAGAAGAUGAAAUAGAAGGCUAUUGACCCCCAUGUCACAAAAUGGUUCAUCCAUGUCCAGAAAUGAGUCUCUAAUGCAAGCUGUUAUUAAAGGAGAGACAACAGUGAGCAUGGUGUAAGAUACAUUUAUCUGCAGCUUAGUACUGUAAUAAUUUGCCUCAAUGCCACAACAAAGACCUUAGCAAAAUUGACACAUAAAACCUGCUACCAUUGCGCAAAUCACUACCAGGUACCACUACACAAUUGUAAGCAGGGUGCAUACAUCAUGUAUACAGUCAGAUAAGAAAAAAAAUCACUUCUCUAAAACUAUGGUGCAAGUAGCCUACCAACCAGAUGCAGGGAAAACAAUACAAGUACUAUGCCAGUUAAACCUAGAAUUAAAAGCAAAAGCUUCAGUUAUGUACCUUUAAAGUGACAGUUAUGACCAUAACUGUAAAGACCAGCGUUCCAAAUGUCCAG
Molecule: non-coding RNA, 921 nt
Organism: Doryrhamphus excisus (bluestripe pipefish)
Lineage: Eukaryota; Metazoa; Chordata; Actinopteri; Syngnathiformes; Syngnathidae
Source: RefSeq, a predicted model, not a curated record